This 301-nucleotide ribosomal RNA is filed under the name uncultured bacterium. Its description in RNAcentral is "partial 16S ribosomal RNA". It matches the Rfam family "Bacterial small subunit ribosomal RNA", at positions 509 to 807 of the family's 1533-position model. The record is from RNAcentral.
CAGUCGCCGCGGUAAUACGAAGGGGGCUAGCGUUGCUCGGAGUCACUGGGCGUAAAGGGUGCGUAGGCGGGUCUUUAAGUCAGGGGUGAAAUCCUGGAGCUCAACUCCAGAACUGCCUUUGAUACUGAAGAUCUUGAGUUCGGGAGAGGUGAGUGGAACUGCGAGUGUAGAGGUGAAAUUCGUAGAUAUUCGCAAGAACACCAGUGGCGAAGGCGGCUCACUGGCCCGAUACUGACGCUGAGGCACGAAAGCGUGGGGAGCAAACAGGAUUAGAUACCCCCGUAGUCCCUGUCUCUUAUAC